CACGCCCCCUCCGUUGAUGACAUAGCCGGCCGAGCGAAGCAAGCGCAGAAAAAGAUUAUCAAGAAGACAAGUCGCCGAGUACGCGCCCGCACAGAAUCGGCCGAUCCACCCGUGGUUGCAUCGGCAGAAAUUUCGGCUACGCCGACCCUUCCGGUCGCUGAAGAAGUUGACCUCCAAGCCGCUAAAGAGGCCGGAGCGGCUGCCGCGUCAUUGUUGGUGGAAGCUAUUCAGGCCGUGCAGAUUGCCUCAGCAGAUCCACAGCAAUCUGCAAUGCCCCAAGCAGAAGUUGAAAUACCAGUGCCCCUUCCCGUUGAGGUCAUCGGCACGUUAACUAUGCUAUCCGACUAGCCAUCUGCCAAAGAAGUCCUUCAAGAGGCCGGCCCGAGCAGAACGCCGAUCGUUGUCGAAUCCUCUUCUUCCGAUGAGCCAAUGGCACCAGUCCCCGAGUCGAUAGUGGUUGUUCCACAAACGCAGAUGGAGGAGAUCCAUUUCAAAGAGGAAUAGGACACUCCCAAUAAUAGCCUCUUCUCAUUUGCGGUCGCGCUCUCUGAUGACGAGGAAGUUGCUUCUCGUCAAGUUACUUUGAGCUCCAUCCCCGAUGACGUCCGCGCUAAGCUUGAAAGUAUACGGUCCCUUCUUUAAGAGGACAUCAGCCGAUUGGUGGAGGACGCCUCGCCGAUUCGGCAGCUCUUUGGUGACGUCAACGGGCGAGUCCCAGAGGAAGCAGAAGAAGCCUUGGCACCGGCCGCUUAUAUCGAGUCGAUGCGGAUCCCGGUCUUCAGGGCUCUGCGUCACAUGGCCGAUCGCGCCAAGCUGGCCAAGACUCGUGAGGAAGAGGACUCGUACAAGCAACGGGCCCAGGAGGUACACCAUCGGAUUCACUUCCUCGAGAAUUCCCGACCUGGACUCGUCGGCACGAUAGAUCGCCUCAAGCACCGAAGGGCGGAACUUGCCAAGGAGAUGGAGUAGGUAACCAAAGAAAUAGCUAUUGAAGAGAAGAAGCUUCAGGAACUCCCUUCCGUUAUCGCCGAUUUAAAGCAGGAGAGGCAGCAUUUGGCCCAUGAGGCCCUUAGACUCCAUCGCCAUAUGUCAGAAGUUCCAGGGUCGGCAGAUGAUGACCAACGAGUCUUGGACUCGGCCGAUCAGAUCAGGCAUCGAGCGAUUGCGGCCAUUAACGCCCUUCUGGGUGACUUGUAAAAGUA
Setaria italica (foxtail millet) is the source of this 1202-nucleotide long non-coding RNA. RefSeq lists it as uncharacterized. NCBI's taxonomy places the organism in Eukaryota, Viridiplantae, Streptophyta, Magnoliopsida, Poales, Poaceae. The record is from RefSeq and is a predicted model, not a curated record. The transcript has 4 exons.